Molecule: ribosomal RNA, 716 nt
Filed under: uncultured bacterium
Lineage: Bacteria
Description: bacterial SSU rRNA
Rfam family: Bacterial small subunit ribosomal RNA
Source: RNAcentral
AGAGUUUGAUCAUGGCUCAGAACGUACGCUGGCGGCACGCCUAACACAUGCAAGUCGAACGAAGUAGCAAUACUUAGUGGCAGACGGGUGAGUAACAUGUAGGUAUCUACCCUAUGGCCUGGAAUAACACGAGGAAACUUGUGCUAAUACCAGAUAAGUCUUUACAGAGAAAGCUUUAUGCACCAUUGGAUGAGCCUGCACUUGAUUAGUUUGUUGGUAGGGUAAUGGCCUACCAAGACUGUGAUCAAUAGCUGAUUUGAGAGGAUGAUCAGCCACAUUGGGACUGAGACACGGCCCAAACUCCUACGGGAGGCAGCAGUGGGGAAUCCUGCACAAUGGAGGAAACUCUGAUGCAGCGAUGCCGCGUGAGUGAAGAAGGCCUUUGGGUUGUAAAGCUCUUUCGUCGGGGAAGAAAAUGACUGUACCCGAAUAAGAAGGUCCGGCUAACUUCGUGCCAGCAGCCGCGGUAAUACGAAGGGACCUAGCGUAGUUCGGAAUUACUGGGCUUAAAGAGUUCGUAGGUGGUUGAAAAAGUUGGUGGUGAAAUCCCAGAGCUUAACUCUGGAACUGCCAUCAAAACUUUUCAGCUAGAGUUUGAUAGAGGAAAGCAGAAUUUCUAGUGUAGAGGUGAAAUUCGUAGAUAUUAGAAAGAAUACCAAUUGCGAAGGCAGCUUUCUGGAUCAUUACUGACACUGAGGAACGAAAGCAUGGGUAGC